GCGCAAUCUCGGCUCAUGGCAACCUCCACCUCCCAGGUUCAAGUGAUUCUCCUGCCUCAGCCUCCCGAGUAGCUGGAACUACUCAGGCACCCGCCACCAUGCCCGGCUAAUUGUUUGUAUUUUUAGUAGAGACAGGGUUUCACUGUGUUAUCCAGGAUGGUCUUGAUCUCUUGACCUCAUGAUCCACCCGCCUCGGCCUCCCAAAGUGCUGGGAUUACAGGCGUGAGCCACCGCACCCAGCCGGAAACUGAAUAGGUAUUACAAGGAAGGAACAGUCUCUGUUUUCCUGAACUUCCUCCCGUUCAAGUUAAACUGGAGAAGAUCAUGCCAGGAGAAAAUAGAGAUGAGGUUUUGCCAUGUUGGCCAGGCUGGUCUGGAACUUCUGACCUCAAGUGAUCCACCUGCCUCUGCCUCCCAAAGUGGUGGGAUUACAGAUGUGAGAUACCAUGCCCAGCCCAAAUAAGAAAAACAUGCUCUCUCUUCUCUAAUGAUUGGACAGACUCCUACUCCAAAACAGAAGAUCUCAACUCUGGAAGAGAACAGAUGCCUUCCACUGUGUGAGCGUAAAUUCAGAGCCUUCCAACUUGACAUUCUCAUCGACAAAUUAUUUAAACAUGACGGCUCUUUUAUAAAGAGUGUUAUCUUAAAAGGAAAGGAAUCAAAGGGCUGAACAUGUUGAAGGGAGGAGAAACAAGACCCCCAGGACUUGUCAAUGGCACACAUGAAAGACAGAAAACACCAGAAGCCAGUCUUCAGCCUGCUGGCCCAGCCAUGGCCACUGUAACGUACGGCUAAACCCCUGCCCCGAUCAGCUCUCAAGGCUCUGAGCCAACUGCCUAGACCGUCUAUUUGAGAUCCCUGAGAGUUUCAACACAGGGCAUGGCUGACCUCUCCACCGUGUCAUUUCCAGUAAUGCGGCCUCACUGAUAGCAGAAGUUCGGAGAGCUCUUGUCAGAGAGGCCAGCUGGCACCAUGUGAGUCUUACCCAGAGGGAAACCUGACAAUCUUCCAGCAUGCUCACCAGACUGGGGCACUGACUUUUGUCACUUGAUUCUCAACUCACAGUCUCAAGAUGCUGGUGCUAAUGUACAUUGCAGCUGACACUGGAGUUUAUUUUUAUAACUGCUCUUGCCUCAGAAAAAGCUCCAUCCCAGUACGACUUCCAGGACAGGGAUGGUCUGGAUGCUGCAGUUAGGACAAUGAUCAUCUCGUUCUCUUAGUGGUUAGGAAUCCUGUGGGCUUAUGGAAUAAGCUCGCUGAAACAGACAGUGACAUCCACGGUGACACUGACCGAAUUGUGCUCCAGUGGCCUAGAGAGUGCCUAUUAUUUAUCUCAUUUCUGUUCUGCAUAAUAACACCAACCAAACCGCUAAUGAAUGAAUAUUAUUACAUGCUUUGGUAGGAACGCAAAGGCAAAUUGGGCUCACUGUAGAGAAUAUCUUGCUCCUCAUUUUGUAUUAAAAUGCCUAGACGCCCCUCAAGAGACCAUGUCAAGGAUGAAAUUUAUCCACUGCCUGCAUUUGCUAAUUUGAAAGAGUUCUGAUUUCAUCUGCCGGGCUUAAUAUAGAAAUUCUUUUAACCUGAACAGAUACACAGAAAUGUGGAAUUUAUUCAAUGCCAUUUUCUUGAUUUAUGUCAGGAAAUAUAUAUGGCUAUGCUGUCAUCUUUUUAUAUAUAGACAUCAAUAUAUAUAAAUAUAUAGAGUCAAGUCAGAAAUUCUGAAACCACAUUGCACUUAGCCCUUACAGCAUAAUGCUUUCCAUAUUCUUCACAGUUUGUUUCCCUGAUCCUUUAGAGAGAGCUACUGUGUUUAAAGUGUAAACCAUUUUUACAGAAAAAAUGUAUUACAAUUCUAUAUGAUAAUUCUCAAAGUUCAGGAAAAUAAUCUGAAAUAAACAUUCUAAAUUGAGGAAUGAAUAAUAAAGACUCAUCAAUUGGGCUGGGAGCAGUGGCUCACGCCUGUAAUCUCAGUACUUUGGGAGACCGAGGCAGGCGGAUCACCUGAGGUCAGCCUGGCCAACCUGGUGAAACCCCGUCUCUACCAAAAAAAUACAAAAACUAGCUGGGCAUGGUGGCACAUGCCUGUAAUCCCAGCUACUCUGAAGGCUGAGGCAGGAGAAUUGCUUGAACCUGGGAGGCAAAGGUUCCAGUGAGCUGAGAUCGCCCUAUUGCACUCCAGCCUAGCUGUCUCAAAAAAAAAAAAAAAAAAAAAAGAAAGACUCAUCAAUUGUUUUGACACGUGGUUAGACAAACAGGCUGAUUUAUAGUGCUUGGCCAUAUUCUAAGGAACCCAGUUCUGUGGGUUCUCAGGCAAUGACUGGGACAGGGGCCAUAAGAAUAGCACAACUAUUACUGCAGAAUUGCGUCCCUUAAAUAAGAAUUUCACCAGAUUCUGGGGCCCCUGAACUCUCAUCCUGCAGCUGUGCCUUGUUUGCUGGAUCUUCCAGCCCCAGCUUGAACUGAGACACAGGGACGGCCAUCACGGGGAAGAGGGGGCAGGAGCGUGUCCUCUUCACAGCAGUGCCCAUCAGUGAGUGAGCCUUGCUUUGAAACCUGUGUCUAAUGCAUGUCUGUUCCUGGAAAGUGGUGGUUUAGGAGCAGGUAAGCCACUCUGCUACCCCAGUCUGUUAUUUAUAAUGGUUUGAGUGUGAAAUCAGAAAGAUGCUUUUGCUGUUGUUGGCAUUUCUCA
Molecule: long non-coding RNA, 2689 nt
Filed under: Homo sapiens (human)
Lineage: Eukaryota; Metazoa; Chordata; Mammalia; Primates; Hominidae
Description: HSALNT0324905
Source: RNAcentral